GACGAACGCUGGCGGCGUGCUUAACACAUGCAAGUCGAACGCUGAAGCCCUUCGGGGUGGAUGAGUGGCGAACGGGUGAGUAACACGUGGGUAAUCUGCCCUGCACUCUGGGAUAAGCCUUGGAAACGGGGUCUAAUACCGGAUAGGACACAUCGCCGCAUGGUGUGUGUGUGGAAAGUUCCGGCGGUGCAGGUUGAGCCCGCGGCCUAUCAGCUUGUUGGUGGGGUGAUGGCCUACCAAGGCGACGACGGGUAGCCGGCCUGAGAGGGUGACCGGCCACACUGGGACUGAGACACGGCCCAGACUCCUACGGGAGGCAGCAGUGGGGAAUCUUGCGCAAUGGGCGAAAGCCUGACGCAGCAACGGCGCGUGGGGGAUGACGGCCUUCGGGUUGUAAACCUCUUUCGACCGGGACGAAGGAUUCGUUUGAUGGUACCGGUAGAAGAAGCACCGGCUAACUACGUGCCAGCCGCCGCCGUAA
Molecule: ribosomal RNA, 481 nt
Filed under: uncultured bacterium
Lineage: Bacteria
Description: partial 16S ribosomal RNA
Rfam family: Bacterial small subunit ribosomal RNA
Source: RNAcentral